GACAACGCUGGCGGCGUGCCUAACACAUGCAAGUCGAGCGGGGUUGAAGCGAGAGGUAACUCGAGCUUCUACCUAGCGGCGGACGGGUGAGUAACGCGUGGGCAACCUGCCUCAAGGUUUGGGAUAACAGCCCGAAAGGGCUGCUAAUACCGGAUAUGCCUAUGGCCUCGCAUGGGGCUAUGAGCAAAGGGGAAACCCGCCUUGAGAUGGGCCCGCGUCCCAUCAGCUAGUUGGUGAGGUAACAGCUCACCAAGGCGACGACGGGUAGCCGGCCUGAGAGGGUGACCGGCCACACUGGGACUGAGACACGGCCCAGACUCCUACGGGGGGCAGCAGUGGGGGAUCUUGCACAAUGGGCGAAAGCCUGAUGCAGCGACGCCGCGUGAGCGAAGAAGGCCUUCGGGUUGUAAAGCUCUGUCUGGAGGGACGAACAAAAUGACGGUACCUCCGGAGGAAGCCACGGCUAACUACGUG
RNAcentral lists this ribosomal RNA (474 nucleotides) under uncultured bacterium. RNAcentral describes it as "bacterial SSU rRNA". It matches the Rfam family "Bacterial small subunit ribosomal RNA", at positions 32 to 507 of the family's 1533-position model. The record is from RNAcentral.